AAAAAAAUUUAGAACCUUGCCAUCGUGAAACUCAUCUUCUUCCUUGAAACCACCAUAUUCAUCUCUUCUACAAACCCAAAUUCUUCCAUUAACACCUUUCUUUAACAUAAAUUCUUCCAUCACUAACCUCUUUCCAACACAAAAUCCAUCUUUCUCUUCCCACAAUUCCAUAAAAAUAUCUCAAAUCCUUUUGAAUUCACAACAACUAAAAACUCAAAUCCAUUCUUCCAAACACCAUCACUCAAUAAACCCCAUCUUCUACACCUCAACAAAAACUCGCGAAAUUCAACAACCCCAUCUCCAAAUUAAACCUUCUCUUCACAAAUUUCACCCAAUUCUCUCAAAUUCUUUGAACCCACUUUUACCAAUUCUCUCAAACCCUUAAACCAAAAACCUUCACCUUCACCAAACCACCUUCAAGAAUCACGAAAUUCAUACCCACCACAU
Molecule: long non-coding RNA, 447 nt
Filed under: Trifolium pratense (red clover)
Lineage: Eukaryota; Viridiplantae; Streptophyta; Magnoliopsida; Fabales; Fabaceae
Description: long non-coding RNA (TPRA_LNC014034)
Source: RNAcentral